ACUCAAGCAUCUAGUAGCUUUACACAUGUUGUUGGCCUCAAGAAAAGACAGACACGACAAAGUGGGUCAAAGAGAAAGAAAAACUGGCUCGACAAAUAUCACAAAAAUAACCAGCAAAGAUCAGAAAAGAACAAUCCUUGCAAACAAACUAAUGAGGCAUGUUGCGCAAGCAGACCGGUUGAUGCACGAGCAGUGGUAUUGAUGAUGAACAUGGGCCUUGCACGACAUGCUUGGAUGGAGUUCUACUAUCCUAAGGCCCAUCUUGGGUAG
This 270-nucleotide long non-coding RNA is filed under the name Oryza sativa Indica Group (long-grained rice). RNAcentral's name for it is "lncRNA OsPr106_08g0007820". The record is from RNAcentral. Lineage: Eukaryota; Viridiplantae; Streptophyta; Magnoliopsida; Poales; Poaceae.